This 1883-nucleotide long non-coding RNA is filed under the name Medicago truncatula (barrel medic). RNAcentral's name for it is "long non-coding RNA (MTRU_LNC004676)". The record is from RNAcentral. Lineage: Eukaryota; Viridiplantae; Streptophyta; Magnoliopsida; Fabales; Fabaceae.
CUCAAUCUCAAUAUGCGUUAGGCCGGCUCCAAGAAGCAUGGCAGAGGUGCCUUUCAUAUGUUGUAGUUGGUGGGUUAGGACCAUAAAAUCUAUUUGGUAAUCUACAUCAAAUUGUCGAAGAAAUAUAGUCAGCCACGCCGUAUUGAGUCGCUGAGGAGGGUGUUUUGAUGAAUUUAAAGGUAUUUUGAUUUUUCUUGUUUCUCAUAAAUGAUCUAUAUUGGUAUUUUAAUACCGCAACAAUCAUGUCCUCUUGAAUGUGUAUGAGUAUUUUCACUUUUGAAUGUUGAAUGAAUUACACACAAUUUUAUGUCAUUAUGAACGUUGAAUAAAUUUUGAGUGUUAAAUGUUGAAUAGUGUGUUUGAAAGUGUUUCCGUGUAUUUGUGUGUUGAGUGUGUCUAGCAUAUCUUCACAGCCUCUUCUGUUCUGUGUUCUAUAAUUUGUCUCCAAUCCAUAUAUCGGUUCAUAACUCAUGAACAAUGGAUAGGGGCUUAAAUCCCAAACGGGAGCAAUCAGGUCGUAAGUCCCAAUAGGAGAAUUUUUGGAUUUUCGAGAUGCCUAUGAGCAUAUGAAGUUGCUUGAAGAGAAUAUUUUUUUUGGAUGGGGAUCUUUUUCCAACCCAAGAUCAUGUCAGAUAUACACAUGAAAAACACUAUUUUUGUAUCGUCUAGAAGUGAAGUACAUUCCAAACAAACUAUUUUGUCCGAAAAUAUGCUUAUAAAGUCAAUGGUAAAUUUUCAGAAAUGUGGAGUGGAAAAAGUUACUCCCCUCUUGCUAUAAAUAAAUAAAUACUAGUAUAUAGUGCUCGGAAAAAACAUAGUGUGGGACACUUAUUCCACAUAUAUACCCUUAGAACCAUCCCUGAUCAUGCUUAUGACAAAUGUUGUACAAUAUAAUGCUAAACAUGUAACUGCAUACGAAAGUCGCCGGAUAAGUCUACCCGUAUAAUCCAUGGAAAGGAAUCAAUUCAGUGGCCGAAGUUGAGUAAAUUGAAAUGAUAUCUUGAUCAAGAUGAAGCACCAUGUAGAUGGCAUUACAAGAAGGGGCGAUAAACUAUAAAAAUAUGUUAUAUACAAAAUUGUCCCUAGAGGUGUCAUUGGAUAUCUAAUAAGAUUUUUACUCGGAAGGGGUGACAGCAAGAUGAAAUACCGACCCACAAGUUCAUCUUUGAUCGACUCUUAUUGCUACCUCUAUCUGACUGAUCUACAAAAUCCGGAGAUGAACCGUGUAUCUACAAAUUUGUACGUCGGGUAUGUGACUGAAGGAGUGAUCGUGCCUAGCCAAUGCAACCUUCAUCCUUUUCUCGGACUUUCUUCGUUGUUUCCCCAGAGGCUGGAGGAGAUGAAAAUUUAAGCCAGAUGGAAGAAACACAAGUUUUACUAGAAGAAAUCAUCAAACGAACCUUCUUUUUCACUUCCAGAUCCUGAAAAAUGCAAUGAUAAAGAUAAGAAAAAUUAUAUUGCCUUUUCCAUCUUAUUUCGUCUUUCUGUGAAUAAGAAGAGGGAAACUUAAACAAGAAUAUAAGAAAGUAAAUCCAAAAUAGAAGCUACAUUCUUACUUUUUAUCUUUUAUGGCAAUCACAUUGUCACAGAUGCAUGCAACGGUGCUAUUAUACGAACAAGUUAAACUAUAUUUUCACUACCUUAUCUGUGAUAUACAUAGUAAACCCUAGAUUAAAUGCUGCAAAGGUCUCAAAAGAGUACUUAUAUUCUUAUUUGAAAACUUCCAUUUAUAAUAUACAUGCUAGGAUCUUUGUAUAAGGUUGUUUUACUCAUCUGACAAAUUAUUUUCUCCUCAAGCAGAGUACGCAAGUCGAAUAGGAAGAUAACUAGCACAUUGAAAUUUGUGACGAAAUUUGGACUGACCUGAUCCUUCAGCUGCAGUG